Molecule: long non-coding RNA, 1047 nt
Organism: Poecile atricapillus (Black-capped chickadee)
Lineage: Eukaryota; Metazoa; Chordata; Aves; Passeriformes; Paridae
Exons: 5
Source: RefSeq, a predicted model, not a curated record
CCCCGGUGUCACUCGUACCAUCUCCGAUCACUGGGCUCUUCAGCCCGACACCAUCGAAUCUUUCCCUCUGGAGCUCUCAGAGGUCUUGGAAUCACGUUUCUCUUGAAAAGCAUCCGAUCGGAUGUCUUUUAGAGGUCUUGUUCCGAGCUGUGUCGACAGCCGUGCGCCGCGAGGAUCCAUUGUUGCGGCUUAGGACUUGAAGAAACGCAGAGAUAGGUAGGGGGCUGUGGCCCUCAGAUUCUCGGGCAUCCGUCUUGGCACUUGCUGGAGUUUGUCAUUCCAUCAGCAUCUUCUUCCUCCCGGGUUCUGCGAGCUUCAUCAGCUCGCCUUCAUUCUCACCCGGCUCAUCUCGUUCCGCGUUCUCUCGGUCCUUGCGGCCGUUCUUGUGGCCCAGAGUUUUGUCUCCCCAUUGUGUCCCCUCGUCUGUUGUCUUGUGUGUCACAGGUGUCUGGGUGUAGUUGUCCCGGAGCUGCUCUGUCCUGCUGCCCAGCCUGGGUGUAGGUGUAAAAGGCCAAGUCCCAGGCCCCUGUAAUUUGCAGUUUGUCAUGUAGGGUGUAGUUGGAGUCUAGAGGGUAUUCCUAGAUUGACACAAGAUGUCUGGAGCUGUGAAGUUACUCUGCAGCACUUUGACUUUUGUCUCAGCUUUCUUUCAGAUGCGGACGGAUGAAAUCGGUGGCAGAGCGCCCCAUCCAGGGUAAGGGGGUUCCCCCGAGGAGGAAGUAGAGCCAGCUAGCAGCAGUCAAGGCGAAGUGGGCAAGGCGGUCCAGUCGCGUUUCGCUGAGACGUCCUUGCCAACCGGCCGGCACAGCUGCUUCACUGCUCCCGUGAGCCCUGCGGAAGCGUUAUGGAACCGUGUGACGGAGCCUUUUCCACGUAAAGGGGCCGUGUGGGUGGCCUUCAGGAACGGGCCGAGGGGUUGCCGCGCGCCCUGUGACGACGGCGUCCAGCUCCCAGUGUGGCCGAAGCGUGCGGCCUCAGGACGUGGCCGUUCACAGGAGACCCUGACCGAGAGACGGCAGCCUGGCGAUGGCAGGAACUUCCCAGAUG